CGGGGUGUGGCGCAGCUUGGUAGCGCAUCUGCUUUGGGAGCAGAGGGUCGCAGGUUCAAAUCCUGUCACCCCGAC
This 75-nucleotide transfer RNA is filed under the name Myceligenerans crystallogenes. RNAcentral describes it as "tRNA-Pro". It matches the Rfam family "tRNA". From Rfam's summary of the family: Transfer RNA (tRNA) molecules are approximately 80 nucleotides in length. Their secondary structure includes four short double-helical elements and three loops (D, anti-codon, and T loops). Lineage: Bacteria; Bacillati; Actinomycetota; Actinomycetes; Micrococcales; Promicromonosporaceae. RNAcentral also lists the same sequence under 1 other name. The record is from RNAcentral.